GGCUUGGUGGUCUAGUGGUAUGAUUCUUGCUUAGGGUACUCUCUAUCCGAGUUGCAAGAGGUCCCGGGUUCGAUCCCCGGCCAAGCCC
Non-coding RNA from Biscogniauxia marginata, 88 nucleotides. The record is from the annotation of a GenBank genome assembly. Lineage: Eukaryota; Fungi; Ascomycota; Sordariomycetes; Xylariales; Xylariaceae.